RNAcentral lists this ribosomal RNA (536 nucleotides) under uncultured bacterium. RNAcentral's name for it is "partial 16S ribosomal RNA". It matches the Rfam family "Bacterial small subunit ribosomal RNA", at positions 355 to 900 of the family's 1533-position model. The record is from RNAcentral.
UGGGGAAUAUUGCACAAUGGGCGCAAGCCUGAUGCAGCGACGCCGCGUGAGGGAUGACGGCCUUCGGGUUGUAAACCUCUUUCAAAUAGGGACGAAGCGCAAGUGACGGUACCUAUAGAAGAAGGACCGGCCAACUACGUGCCAGCAGCCGCGGUAAUACGUAGGGUCCGAGCGUUGUCCGGAAUUACUGGGCGUAAAGAGCUCGUAGGUGGUUUGUCGCGUUGUUCGUGAAAACUCACAGCUUAACUGUGGGCGUGCGGGCGAUACGGGCAGACUAGAGUACUGCAGGGGAGACUGGAAUUCCUGGUGUAGCGGUGGAAUGCGCAGAUAUCAGGAGGAACACCGGUGGCGAAGGCGGGUCUCUGGGCAGUAACUGACGCUGAGGAGCGAAAGCGUGGGGAGCGAACAGGAUUAGAUACCCUGGUAGUCCACGCCGUAAACGGUGGGUACUAGGUGUGGGUUUCCUUCCUUGGGAUCCGUGCCGUAGCUAACGCAUUAAGUACCCCGCCUGGGGAGUACGGCCGCAAGGCUAAAAA